GUGAACGCUGGCGGUAGGCCUAACGCAUGCAAGUCGAACGGCAGCACCGUAAGAGCUUGCUCUUACGGGUGGCGAGUGGCGGACGGGUGAGGAAUACAUCGGAAUCUACUUUUUCGUGGGGGAUAACGUAGGGAAACUUACGCUAAUACCGCAUACGACCUACGGGUGAAAGCAGGGGAUCUUCGGACCUUGCGCGAUUGAAUGAGCCGAUGUCGGAUUAGCUAGUUGGCGGGGUAAAGGCCCACCAAGGCGACGAUCCGUAGCUGGUCUGAGAGGAUGAUCAGCCACACUGGAACUGAGACACGGUCCAGACUCCUACGGGAGGCAGCAGUGGGGAAUAUUGGACAAUGGGCGCAAGCCUGAUCCAGCCAUACCGCGUGGGUGAAGAAGGCCUUCGGGUUGUAAAGCCCUUCUGUUGGGAAAGAAAAGCAGCAGGUUAAUACCCCGCUGUUCUGACGGUACCCAAAGAAUAAGCACCGGCUAACUUCGUG
RNAcentral lists this ribosomal RNA (491 nucleotides) under uncultured bacterium. RNAcentral describes it as "partial 16S ribosomal RNA". It matches the Rfam family "Bacterial small subunit ribosomal RNA", at positions 29 to 507 of the family's 1533-position model. The record is from RNAcentral.